AGUGAACGCUGGCGGUAGGCCUAACACAUGCAAGUCGAGCGGCAGCACAGUAAGAGCUUGCUCUUACGGGUGGCGAGUGGCGGACGGGUGAGGAAUACAUCGGAAUCUACUUUUUCGUGGGGGAUAACGUAGGGAAACUUACGCUAAUACCGCAUCCGACCUACGGGUGAAAGCAGGGGAUCUUCGGACCUUGCGCGGUUGAAUGAGCCGAUGUCGGAUUAGCUAGUUGGCGGGGUAAAGGCCCACCAAGGCGACGAUCCGUAGCUGGUCUGAGAGGAUGAUCAGCCACACUGGAACUGAGACACGGUCCAGACUCCUACGGGAGGCAGCAGUGGGGAAUAUUGGACAAUGGGCGCAAGCCUGAUCCAGCCAUACCGCGUGGGUGAAGAAGGCCUUCGGGUUGUAAAGCCCUUUUGUUGGGAAAGAAAAGCAGCAGGUUAAUACCCAGCUGUUCUGACGGUACCCAAAGAAUAAGCACCGGCUAACUUCGUG
RNAcentral lists this ribosomal RNA (492 nucleotides) under uncultured bacterium. RNAcentral's name for it is "partial 16S ribosomal RNA". It matches the Rfam family "Bacterial small subunit ribosomal RNA", at positions 29 to 507 of the family's 1533-position model. The record is from RNAcentral.